This is a long non-coding RNA of Bombus pyrosoma, 1082 nucleotides long. RefSeq lists it as uncharacterized. The record is from RefSeq and is a predicted model, not a curated record. Lineage: Eukaryota; Metazoa; Arthropoda; Insecta; Hymenoptera; Apidae. The transcript is spliced from 3 exons.
GAUGGACUUUUAACAUCCGUGCUUUUUUAAUGACUUUCUAUUUACGAUAAUUCAUACGUAUUAUUUUCUUGCCUGACUUUUAAUAGAUUGAUAUGGAUACACUGAAAAUACUCUGUAACAUGAAGCAAGUGUUAAUUUGGAAAACAUCAGCGUGACGUUGACACGCUAUAAAACACUUUAUAGUUGAGGAAGCUCGAAAGUCGUGAGUAACGGUGAAUUGCAAGAGCCGGCUGAGUUUAAUUCACGUCACAGUUUUCACGACUUUAAAUAACCUACCUUGCAGCCUGAAACCUCACAACCUACCGUCUGACGUCGUAAAGAUUAAUCACAGUCGUGGAUACUUUUUAAAAUAGAAUAAUUCUUCUCAAAUUGGACCAAACGACCGACAUGUUUUUGGAAGCUACAAGGAUCAGUUUGCUGGAUGACGCGUAGGGAAAAUAUUCUGAGAAAAUUUUGAUCGAUCGAAAUAGCGAAAAUCGUUUUUUAUUUUAAAAUUUAAGCAACGUGUUUUCCACAAUUAUGUCGCGAUUCACGGAUUACAAAUCGACCGGCAGAUGAUUCUCUCUCGAUCGAUGUUCAAAGAAUAAGAUCUUCAAAGACAGAAUUUGCUGAGAAAAACGAGCUUGAAAAUUUCUCACGUACAUUUAACCUCGGCUAAGUAGCACAAACUACUCUUUCAUCAACAGGAGAUUAUUUUAGGUACGAAAAGAAGCCAGAGAAUAACAUUUAUUCGUUUAAGGCUUCAUUUUCGAGAAGAUAAAGUCCGAUGGAAAAAAUUUAUUUUUCUCCAAGACAAAGCAUAUUCUAAAAGAAUUUUAUCCUGAAUUUUCCGCUUAUUCUCACGCGUGGUUUUAUCUCCUGUCGAUUAAUUGCUCCUGUUCGAUUCGCAAUUAGCCAAGUUUCAAGUAUACUCGUCACAUGUUUAAGUUCGAUUUUCUCGGAAAUGAAAUUUUCUUAUUCUACGAAAUAAUUGUUUUCUCUUUUUUUGACUCAUUUUUACAUCAUCAGUUGCGACAUAACUCUUGAAAACGCGCUGUUUAAAUUUCCCUUUCAGGCUACUAGAAAAGUUGUAAAGAAAAUUG